AGCGAACGCUGGCGGCGUACUUAACACAUGCAAGUCGAACGGGGAUCGACACGUGAGCAAUCACGUGGCGGUCUUAGUGGCGUACGGGUGAGUAACACGUGGGCAACCUGCCCUUGAGUCUGGGAUAACCUCCCGAAAGGGAGGCUAAUACCGGAUACGGUCCUCGGGUCGCGAGAUCUGAGGAAGAAAGGUGGCGCAAGCUACCGCUCUUGGAGGGACUCGCGGCCUAUCAGCAGUUGGUGAGGUAACGGCUCACCAAGGCUAUGACGGGUAGCUGGUCUGAGAGGGCGACCAGCCACACGGGGGACUGAGACAC
Molecule: ribosomal RNA, 316 nt
Filed under: uncultured bacterium
Lineage: Bacteria
Description: bacterial SSU rRNA
Rfam family: Bacterial small subunit ribosomal RNA
Source: RNAcentral